CAGGGCUGAUGGCGGCCGUGACGUUGGACGAGUCCGAGGGCGGCCUCCAGACGCCCGGAGGAGCGCUCAGCCUCGUCUGCAAGGCCUCCGGGUUCACCUUCAGCAGCUUCAACAUGUUCUGGGUGCGACAGGCGCCCGGCAAGGGGCUGGAAUACGUCGCUGAAAUUAGCGGCACUGGUAGUAGCACAUACUACGCGCCGGCGGUGAAGGGCCGUGCCACCAUCUCGAGGGACAACGGGCAGAGCACAGUGAGGCUGCAGCUGAACAACCUCAGGGCUGAGGACACCGGCACCUACUACUGCGCCAAAGCUGCUGGUGGUUGUGGUCAGCACUCUGGUUUGAUCAUCGCCACUUCUCCUUUCCAUCUCUCAGGCCCAGUCACGUGUGGGGACCCAGCUCUGACUGUGGGGCAGAGCAGCUCACUGACCCCCACCUCCCCGUGCCGCUGCCCGACCCCUCUCUGCACAAAGGACUUUUCCCCUACAUCCAACCUGACCCCCAACGUUCAAUGUGACCCCAUCUCCUCUCAUUGUAACACAGUUCAUGGAGCAGAGCUGACCCCCCCAGACCCCAACCUCCUCUCGGGG
Gallus gallus (chicken) is the source of this 587-nucleotide non-coding RNA. The record is from the annotation of a RefSeq genome assembly. Lineage: Eukaryota; Metazoa; Chordata; Aves; Galliformes; Phasianidae.